This is an RNA transcript of Etheostoma spectabile (orangethroat darter), 1803 nucleotides long. It is a transcript of the gene named K(lysine) acetyltransferase 8, with no coding region annotated. NCBI's taxonomy places the organism in Eukaryota, Metazoa, Chordata, Actinopteri, Perciformes, Percidae. The transcript is spliced from 11 exons. The record is from RefSeq and is a predicted model, not a curated record.
UCUAGCUACGUCCCACGGACGCCAUCUUGGCAGUCAGUUGUUUAAGUAGUCAAGACCAGCCCAUCAUAAAAAUCUGCGCAGGUUCGCGGAGGCGUGUUGUUGUUUUCAAAACGACCGAGGUUAUGACUGGUGGGACUGAGUUUCACAAAAGCUACAAUAAUAGCAAGGACUCUGAGCCUUCAAUGGAUGUGGAUAUGGAUUCUAGUCAUUUGGAAAGUGAGCGGGGUGAAUUGGACAGUAACGCUAGUAUCCCGGCUGCUUGCUCUUCCAACGGCAGUGGCGGGGAAGAGGACGAGGCGGAGGCCGUUGAUCGUGUGAGAGAAGCCGGGGGCUCUAGUAUUCAUCACACCCCGGAUAGAGGCGCAGUAUUCUGCAGCGGAAGGGAGCAGGAGGUCUCAGUCGAAAUUGGAGAGACGUAUUUAUGUCAACGAGCUGACAAGACAUGGCAUACAGCAGAGGUUAUUCAGUCCCGAUUGAAUGAACAGGAGGGAAGAGAGGAGUUCUAUGUUCACUAUGUAGGAUUUAACAGACGCUUAGAUGAGUGGGUGGGUAAAGCCCGCCUGGCACUCACCAAGACGGUGAAGGAUGCAGUGAGGAAGAGCACAGAGAUUGGAAGUGUUGGUGAUUUGGGUGAACAGCCUGAAAGGAAGAUCACUCGCAACCAGAAGCGCAAACAUGAUGAGAUCAACCAUGUACAGAAGACAUAUGCUGAGAUGGACCCAACAACAGCUGCCUUGGAGAAGGAGCAUGAGGCGAUCACAAAAGUGAAAUAUGUGGAUAAGAUCCAGAUAGGAAACUUUGAGAUUGAUGCCUGGUACUUCUCGCCAUUUCCAGAGGACUACGGCAAGCAGCCCAAGCUGUGGAUCUGCGAGUACUGUCUUAAAUACAUGAAGUACGAGAAGACCUUCAGACAUCAUCUGUCCCACUGUCAGUGGAAGCAGCCUCCAGGCAAAGAAAUCUACAGAAGGAGCAACAUAUCAGUGUAUGAAGUGGAUGGGCGGGACCACAAGAUCUACUGUCAAAAUCUUUGUCUACUAGCAAAACUAUUUCUCGACCACAAGACGCUGUAUUUUGACGUGGAGCCCUUUAUCUUCUAUAUCCUCACUGAAGUCAACAAACAGGGAGCGCACAUUGUCGGCUACUUCUCCAAAGAGAAAGAAUCUCCAGAUGGCAAUAACGUGGCGUGUAUUCUUACACUGCCGCCAUACCAACGCAGAGGCUACGGAAAGUUCCUCAUAGCUUUUAGUUAUGAGCUGUCUAAGCUGGAGAGUGCAGUCGGCUCGCCAGAGAAGCCUCUGUCUGAUCUGGGGAAGCUGAGCUACAGAAGUUACUGGUCCUGGGUCCUGCUGGAGAUCCUGAGGGACUUCAGAGGAACACUAUCUAUCAAAGACCUCAGACCCUCCCCCCUCUCUUUCUCCUCAGCCAGAUGACCAGCAUCACGCAGAGUGACAUCAUUAGCACGCUGCAGUCACUCAAUAUGGUGAAGUACUGGAAAGGUCAGCACGUUAUCUGUGUGACACCCAAACUGGUUGAGGAGCACCUGAAGAGCGCCCAGUACAAGAAACCACCAAUUACAGUGGACACUAUGUGUUUGAAGUGGGCGCCGCCCAAAAAUAAACAAGUCAAGUUGUCCAAGAAGUGAGAGGCAGAGCCAGCGAUGCUACAUCUGUCAGUCAAGUCCACCUGUUUUUAUAUAAUCUGUAAAUUUUCUCCUGUUCCCAACUGGCUAAAAGCUGCUGUUCUCAGUGUAUAUAGUUAUUAGUAGCAUUUGUCCGUAUUUUCUUAAAAUAUCCAUACAAAAAA